UCUUUGGCAGUCCAGUGGUUAGGACUCCAUGUUUUCAUUGCUGAGGGCCCAGGUUCAAUCCCUGGUCAAGGAA
This 73-nucleotide transfer RNA is filed under the name Bos taurus (domestic cattle). It matches the Rfam family "tRNA". From Rfam's summary of the family: Transfer RNA (tRNA) molecules are approximately 80 nucleotides in length. Their secondary structure includes four short double-helical elements and three loops (D, anti-codon, and T loops). Lineage: Eukaryota; Metazoa; Chordata; Mammalia; Artiodactyla; Bovidae. RNAcentral also lists the same sequence under 6 other names. The record is from Rfam by way of RNAcentral.